This 345-nucleotide transfer-messenger RNA is filed under the name Mediterraneibacter faecis. RNAcentral describes it as "Standard tmRNA". It matches the Rfam family "transfer-messenger RNA". From Rfam's summary of the family: Bacterial tmRNA, also known as 10Sa RNA or SsrA, is named for its dual tRNA and mRNA-like properties. Its role is to liberate the mRNA from a stalled ribosome. The record is from RNAcentral. Lineage: Bacteria; Bacillati; Bacillota; Clostridia; Lachnospirales; Lachnospiraceae.
GGGCUUGUACUGGUUUCGACAGGGAUCUCGAAGAUGGAGAAGCUAUCCGUAGGCUGAUGCGUUAAAUCGCAAACUUAAAAUUAAACGCUAACGAUAAUUUCGAAUUAGCUGCAGCCUAAAUGCUGCAUGUCAGCCCUGAAGCACUCACACUUUAGGAAUCUGGCACCGACUAUGUGAGAAACGAUGACGGCAAAGCUUUGAGCUGUCAGGCGUAUUAUGAAGCUACUGAACCCGUAAGGAUGUUAGUUUUCGUACGGCAGAGGGAAUGUUAAAUAACUGACUAUGAUAGUAGAAGUACAUGGGACAGGUUUUUGGACGCGGGUUCGAUUCCCGCCAGGUCCACCA